RNAcentral lists this signal recognition particle RNA (247 nucleotides) under Macaca mulatta (Rhesus monkey). RNAcentral's name for it is "Metazoan signal recognition particle RNA (ENSMMUG00000062525.1)". It matches the Rfam family "Metazoan signal recognition particle RNA". Rfam says of the family: The signal recognition particle (SRP) is a universally conserved ribonucleoprotein. It is involved in the co-translational targeting of proteins to membranes. The record is from Rfam by way of RNAcentral. Lineage: Eukaryota; Metazoa; Chordata; Mammalia; Primates; Cercopithecidae.
GCCGGGCGAGGUGGCGGGAGCCUGUAGUCCCAGCUACUUGGGAGGCUGAGGCAGGAGAAUGGCGUGAACCCGGGAGGCGGAGCUUGCAGUGAGCUGAGAUCGUGCCACUGCACUCCAGCCUGGGCGACAGAGCGAGACUCCUCCAAAAAAAAAAAAAAAAAAAGUUGUCCUAGGCUGGAGUGCUGUGGCACGAUCUUGGCUCACUGCAAGCUCCACCUCCCGGGUUCAAACGAUUCUCCUACCUCAG